This is a regulatory RNA element of Halobaculum gomorrense, 60 nucleotides long. It matches the Rfam family "eL15-Euryarchaeota ribosomal protein leader". The record is from Rfam. NCBI's taxonomy places the organism in Archaea, Methanobacteriati, Methanobacteriota, Halobacteria, Halobacteriales, Haloferacaceae.
CCCGGUACGCCGGGACGAAAUGUGACCGCUCGGGGCUCCCCGACGCGGUUGAAUCGCAAG